GACGAACGCUGGCGGCGUGCUUAACACAUGCAAGUCGAGCGAUGAAGUUCCUUCGGGAAUGGAUUAGCGGCGGACGGGUGAGUAACACGUGGGUAACCUGCCUCAUAGAGGGGAAUAGCCUUCCGAAAGGAAGAUUAAUACCGCAUAAGAUUGUGGCUUCGCAUGAAGUAGCAAUUAAAGGAGUAAUCCGCUAUGAGAUGGACCCGCGUCGCAUUAGCUAGUUGGUGAGGUAACGGCUCACCAAGGCGACGAUGCGUAGCCGACCUGAGAGGGGGGUCGGGCAAGUUGGGAAGGGGGCACGGGCCAGGCUCCUACGGGGGGCAGGAGUGGGGAAUAUUGCACAAUGGGGGAAACCCUGAUGCAGCAACGCCGCGUGAGUGAUGACGGCCUUCGGAUUGUAAAACUCUGUCUUCAGGGACGAUAAUGACGGUACCUGAGGAGGAAGCCACGGCUAACUACGUGCCAGCCGCCGCAGUAA
Molecule: ribosomal RNA, 478 nt
Filed under: uncultured bacterium
Lineage: Bacteria
Description: partial 16S ribosomal RNA
Rfam family: Bacterial small subunit ribosomal RNA
Source: RNAcentral